UACGUAGGGUGCAAGCGUUGUCCGGAAUUAUUGGGCGUAAAGAGCUCGUAGGCGGUUCGUCGCGUCGGCUGUGAAAUCCCGGAGCUCAACUCCGGGUCUGCAGUCGAUACGGGCGGACUUGAGUACUGCAGGGGAGACUGGAAUUCCUGGUGUAGCGGUGAAACUGCGCAGAUAUCAGGAGGAACACCGGUGGCGAAGGCGGGUCUCUGGGCAGUAACUGACGCUGAGGAGCGAAAGCGUGGGGAGCGAACAGG
Molecule: ribosomal RNA, 254 nt
Filed under: uncultured bacterium
Lineage: Bacteria
Description: partial 16S ribosomal RNA
Rfam family: Bacterial small subunit ribosomal RNA
Source: RNAcentral